GACGAACGCUGGCGGCGUGCUUAACACAUGCAAGUCGAACGGAAAGGCCCUGCUUUUGUGGGGUGCUCGAGUGGCGAACGGGUGAGUAACACGUGAGUAACCUGCCCUUGACUUUGGGAUAACUUCAGGAAACUGGGGCUAAUACCGGAUAGGAGCUCCUGCUGCAUGGUGGGGGUUGGAAAGUUUCGGCGGUUGGGGAUGGACUCGCGGCUUAUCAGCUUGUUGGUGGGGUAGUGGCUUACCAAGGCUUUGACGGGUAGCCGGCCUGAGAGGGUGACCGGCCACAUUGGGACUGAGAUACGGACCAGACUCCUACGGGAGGCAGCAGUGGGGAAUAUUGCACAAUGGGCGGAAGCUUGAUGCAGCAACGCCGCGUGCGGGAUGACGGCCUUCGGGUUGUAAACCGCUUUCGCCUGUGACGAAGCGUGAGUGACGGUAAUGGGUAAAGAAGCACCGGCUAACUACGUG
This 468-nucleotide ribosomal RNA is filed under the name uncultured bacterium. RNAcentral describes it as "partial 16S ribosomal RNA". It matches the Rfam family "Bacterial small subunit ribosomal RNA", at positions 28 to 507 of the family's 1533-position model. The record is from RNAcentral.